ACGAAUGCGGCUGAAGUGGCUCCCUGUCAGGCUCAGGAGACGUCGGGGCGGUCUCGUCGCGGCGCGGUUGCUUGCCGCGUGGUGUCGGGUGCCUUCCGACCGAUCUGCACUUCUGCGGGGAGCCGGCCAACGGCAGUUGCCCUCGGCCCAUGAGGGCGCCGUGGGAGGUAGCCCUGCGUUCCGCGUGGGGAACUUACAGCCCGGCGUCUGGCGUUCCGGGGUGGCGACUGAGGAGAAGUGCGUCCCUUCGCACGUUGCAGCGCAGGCCGUCUCGGCGGCUGGGUCGCUCGCUUUCGGCGGAAGGCCGCGGGUGUCACUGCUUGCAGUGGCGCGUUGACGGUCCAAACCGGGGGAGAGGUCGAUCGCACCUUGCGCUGUGGUCGUUGGUGUCCGAAUGGCCGCAUCCGA
Molecule: ribosomal RNA, 408 nt
Filed under: Demospongiae sp. GW27000
Lineage: Eukaryota; Metazoa; Porifera; Demospongiae
Description: eukaryotic LSU rRNA
Source: RNAcentral